GGGACACGUGGUAUCCUGUCUGAAUAUGGGGGGACCAUCCUCCAAGGCUAAAUACUCCUGACUGACCGAUAGUGAACCAGUACCGUGAGGGAAAGGCGAAAAGAACCCCGGCGAGGGGAGUGAAAAAGAACCUGAAACCGUGUACGUACAAGCAGUGGGAGCACGCUUAGGCGUGUGACUGCGUACCUUUUGUAUAAUGGGUCAGCGACUUAUAUUCUGUAGCAAGGUUAACCGAAUAGGGGAGCCGAAGGGAAACCGAGUCUUAACUGGGCGUUAAGUUGCAGGGUAUAGACCCGAAACCCGGUGAUCUAGCCAUGGGCAGGUUGAAGGUUGGGUAACACUAACUGGAGGACCGAACCGACUAAUGUUGAAAAAUUAGCGGAUGACUUGUGGCUGGGGGUGAAAGGCCAAUCAAACCGGGAGAUAGCUGGUUCUCCCCGAAAGCUAUUUAGGUAGCGCCUCGUGAAUUCAUCUCCGGGGGUAGAGCACUGUUUCGGCAAGGGGGUCAUCCCGACUUACCAACCCGAUGCAAACUGCGAAUACCGGAGAAUGUUAUCACGGGAGACACACGGCGGGUGCUAACGUCCGUCGUGAAGAGGGAAACAACCCAGACCGCCAGCUAAGGUCCCAAAGUCAUGGUUAAGUGGGAAACGAUGUGGGAAGGCCCAGACAGCCAGGAUGUUGGCUUAGAAGCAGCCAUCAUUUAAAGAAAGCGUAAUAGCUCACUGGUCGAGUCGGCCUGCGCGGAAGAUGUAACGGGGCUAAACCAUGCACCGAAGCUGCGGCAGCGACGCUUAUGCGUUGUUGGGUAGGGGAGCGUUCUGUAAGCCUGCGAAGGUGUGCUGUGAGGCAUGCUGGAGGUAUCAGAAGUGCGAAUGCUGACAUAAGUAACGAUAAAGCGGGUGAAAAGCCCGCUCGCCGGAAGACCAAGGGUUCCUGUCCAACGUUAAUCGGGGCAGGGUGAGUCGACCCCUAAGGCGAGGCCGAAAGGCGUAGUCGAUGGGAAACAGGUUAAUAUUCCUGUACUUGGUGUUACUGCGAAGGGGGGACGGAGAAGGCUAUGUUGGCCGGGCGACGGUUGUCCCGGUUUAAGCGUGUAGGCUGGUUUUCCAGGCAAAUCCGGAAAAUCAAGGCUGAGGCGUGAUGACGAGGCACUACGGUGCUGAAGCAACAAAUGCCCUGCUUCCAGGAAAAGCCUC
Molecule: ribosomal RNA, 1199 nt
Filed under: Escherichia coli
Lineage: Bacteria; Pseudomonadati; Pseudomonadota; Gammaproteobacteria; Enterobacterales; Enterobacteriaceae
Description: partial 23S ribosomal RNA
Rfam family: Bacterial large subunit ribosomal RNA
Source: RNAcentral